UUAAAGUGUUUGAGUUGCAGUCAAGUGAUGUGGAUANGUAUUCUACAGGUCUU
Molecule: transfer RNA, 53 nt
Filed under: Lygodactylus chobiensis (Okavango dwarf gecko)
Lineage: Eukaryota; Metazoa; Chordata; Lepidosauria; Squamata; Gekkonidae
Description: tRNA-Ala
Source: RNAcentral